Non-coding RNA from Macaca mulatta (Rhesus monkey), 337 nucleotides. NCBI's taxonomy places the organism in Eukaryota, Metazoa, Chordata, Mammalia, Primates, Cercopithecidae. The record is from RefSeq and is a predicted model, not a curated record.
GGAGAGAUGCGGGCGUCUAAAUGCAGUCGGACUGUGUCUCAGAAGGCGCGCGUUCGGCCAGUAUCCCCAUCUCCGUUUCCUCAACAAAGAACAACCCCUUGGGGGCCUAGAAGGCAUCUCAGCACUUCAGUUUCCCUGAGUGGUGAGGCUGAGCCAGAAGAAGGGCCAGUGUUGUGAGUGACCACAGUGAGAUCUGCAGACCCAGCUUCCUGCACUGACUCCCCCGGCCCCUUUACUGAAGACGAAUCCUGGGCCAGCCCCCAACUGUGUGUGUGCUCUACCUGGUCCCACAUGGUGUUUGUUUGUUUGUAUUUAGAGACAAGGUCUCUGUCACCCA